This 553-nucleotide ribosomal RNA is filed under the name uncultured bacterium. RNAcentral describes it as "bacterial SSU rRNA". It matches the Rfam family "Bacterial small subunit ribosomal RNA", at positions 9 to 546 of the family's 1533-position model. The record is from RNAcentral.
GAGUUUGAUCCUGGCUCAGGACGAACGCUGGCGGCGUGCUUAACACAUGCAAGUCGAACGGAGCUAUUUAUUUCGGUAGAUAGCUUAGUGGCAAACGGGUGAGUAGCGCGUAGGCAACCUGCCCUCAGGAUGGGGACAACGGCUCGAAAGAGCCGCUAAUACCGAAUGACGUAACUCUUCCACAUGGAAGAGAUACUAAAGAUGGGUCAAACCAUCGCCUAAGGAUGGGCCUGCGUCUGAUUAGCCAGUUGGUGAGGUAACGGCUCACCAAAGCGACGAUCAGUAGCCGGUCUGAGAGGAUGAACGGCCACAAUGGGACUGAGACACGGCCCAUACUCCUGCGGGAGGCAGCAGUGGGGAAUCUUCCGCAAUGGGCGAAAGCCUGACGGGGCAACGCCGCGUGAGUGAAGAAGGUCUUCGGAUCGUAAAGCUCUGUUGUCGGGGACGAAAGAGUAGACGAGGAAAUGCGUCUACUAAGACGGUACCUGACGAGGAAGCCACGGCUAACUACGUGCCAGCAGCCGCGGUAAUACGUAGGCGGCAAGCGUUGUCC